RNAcentral lists this ribosomal RNA (274 nucleotides) under uncultured bacterium. RNAcentral describes it as "partial 16S ribosomal RNA". It matches the Rfam family "Bacterial small subunit ribosomal RNA", at positions 523 to 796 of the family's 1533-position model. The record is from RNAcentral.
AUACGGAGGGUCCAAGCGUUGUCCGGAAUCAUUGGGUUUAAAGGGUCCGCAGGCGGUCAAUUAAGUCAGAGGUGAAAGCCCAUCGCUCAACGAUGGAACUGCCUUUGAUACUGGUUGACUUGAGUUAUACGGAAGUAGAUAGAAUAAGUAGUGUAGCGGUGAAAUGCAUAGAUAUUACUUAGAAUACCGAUUGCGAAGGCAGUCUACUACGUAUAUACUGACGCUGAGGGACGAAAGCGUGGGGAGCGAACAGGAUUAGAAACCCCGGUAGUCC